RNAcentral lists this ribosomal RNA (303 nucleotides) under uncultured bacterium. RNAcentral describes it as "partial 16S ribosomal RNA". It matches the Rfam family "Bacterial small subunit ribosomal RNA", at positions 507 to 808 of the family's 1533-position model. The record is from RNAcentral.
AGCAGUCGCCGCGGGAAUACGAAGGGUGCAAGCGUUAAUCGGAAUUACUUGGCGUAAAGCGCGCGUAGGUGGUUUGGUAAGAUGGAUGUGAAAUCCCCGGGCUCAACCUGGGAACUGCAUCCAUAACUGCCUGACUAGAGUACGGUAGAGGGUGGUGGAAUUUCCUGUGUAGCGGUGAAAUGCGUAGAUAUAGGAAGGAACACCAGUGGCGAAGGCGACCACCUGGACUGAUACUGACACUGAGGUGCGAAAGCGUGGGGAGCAAACAGGAUUAGAUACCCCUGUAGUCCCUGUCUCUUAACA